UAUAAUUUGAUCUUCUGUAUUUAAAACUGUACAUUUGCAUACUGAAAUUGUUUUAAUAAGAGAUGUGUUAGUUAGGCAUUGCUAAACACAUAUUAUGUCCCUGAGUAAUAGUUCAGUAUCUAUUACUGCAGUAAAAGAGCUCCAAGACACAAGAAUGGGAUAGCAAAAAGAGGAUCUUCCCAAAUCCAUGCAACCCAAGUACUGUCAGAAUCAUUCUCUAAGUAUGUGCUGCUUCAGUAUGUGGUUUUUAAUCAUUAAAAAGUGCAGUCUUUUGUAACUUGAAGAUAAGGAGUUUAAUGAGAAUUUUUGUGAAUGUAUUACUUUCCUGUUACAAUACUUGGAACACUGUUAAUCCUGUGUCCCCAAAACCAGGACAUCCUAGUAAAGCAGCAAAUGGAAUGUAACGAUGAAUGGAACUGAAAGGAUAUAGUCCUCCUCUAUGGAAAAAAAAAAUACUACAGAGCUGGCUGGAGAAAACUGAUAAAGAGGAAAUGAAGCAGGGGAACAGAAAAACAAAGUGAGAAAUGAAAUCCAAGUUUCUAAUGCAACGAUGUAAUGCCAAGAAACUGCUCCAGAGAAAAUGAGUAACUGCCAGCUUUUCUACCUGUUGCCAAGAAAAUGUUGCUGUGUUCACUGAUCCUGUAAUUAAACUGAGUAUGUUCUGAAACAACUUCUUCUGAAUUGUGCCAUCUUCUGUGAAGGGGGAGAGAGCUUCAUUCCUAUAAUACGCCAGUAGAAAGAUGGUUCUUCUCUAAAAAAUUUCUUUAAAGAAAAAAAGUAACACUUGGAAAGAGAAAUCUUACUGCCUACAGACCUUUGGAGGGAAGCACAGAACUGAAAUUUGCAUUGUUCAAAAUACUCACGUGCAGAGCAAAAAGUUUUAAUAGCUAUCCUUUAAUAUCCUACAAAAACAGCAGUCUUGCUGACUUCUGCUGUUUUGUCAACAUUUUAAAAUGUGACAUUAAUUGUAGUGUCUUAUAGCAAUUUCUGGCUAAGAUUUUUAAUAAAUUUAAGUUAUUGCUAUUAUCCAUGCUGGUCAAGGUAUUUGUAUACAAGUAUGUCAAUAAACCAGAUCAUACCAGUAUAA
This is a long non-coding RNA of Passer domesticus (house sparrow), 1087 nucleotides long. RefSeq lists it as uncharacterized. The transcript has 2 exons. The record is from RefSeq and is a predicted model, not a curated record. NCBI's taxonomy places the organism in Eukaryota, Metazoa, Chordata, Aves, Passeriformes, Passeridae.